RNAcentral lists this ribosomal RNA (305 nucleotides) under uncultured bacterium. RNAcentral describes it as "bacterial SSU rRNA". It matches the Rfam family "Bacterial small subunit ribosomal RNA", at positions 334 to 636 of the family's 1533-position model. The record is from RNAcentral.
UGUUCCUACGGGACGCAGCAGUGAGGAAUAUUGGUCAAUGGCCGAGAGGCUGAACCAGCCAAGUCGCGUGAGGGAAGACGGCCCUAUGGGUUGUAAACCUCUUUUGUCGGGGAGCAAAGAGGCCACGUGUGGUCAAAAGCGAGAGUACCCGAAGAAAAAGCAUCGGCUAACUCCGUGCCAGCAGCCGCGGUAAUACGGAGGAUGCGAGCGUUAUCCGGAUUUAUUGGGUUUAAAGGGUGCGUAGGCGGGACGGUAAGUCAGCGGUAAAAAUGCGGAGCUCAACUCCGUCGAGCCGUUGAAACUGC